GNNNACGCUGGCGGCGUGGAUUAGGCAUGCAAGUCGAACGCGAAAGGUUGCUUCGGUAACCGAGUAGAGUGGCGAACGGGUGAGUAACGCGUAGGUAAUCUAUCUUUAAGUGGGGGAUAGCCCCGGGAAACCGGGAUUAAUACCGCAUGUGUCCGAUAGCACAAGUUAUUGGGUAAAGGUGGCCUCUGAUAUAAGCUACCGCUUGAAGCUGAGCCUGCGUCCUAUUAGUUAGUUGGUAAGGUAAGAGCUUACCAAGGCGAUGAUAGGUAGGCGGCCUUAACGGGUGGUCGCCCACACUGGGAUUGAGAUACGGCCCAGACUCCUACGGGAGGCAGCAGUCGAGAAUAGUCUACAAUGGGGUAAUACCCUGAUAGUGCGACGCCGCGUGGACGAAGAAGCAUUUCGGUGUGUAAAGUCCUUUUCUAUGUGAGCAAGACUUAGAAGGAGAACAUUUUUUUAAGUUCGAUAUUAGCAUAGGAAUAGGCCACGGCUAACUCCGUGCCAGCAGCCGCGGUAACACGGGGGUGGCGAGCGUUGUCCGGAAUUACUAGGCGUAAAGUGCAAUAAGGCGGAAUUAUAAGUCAGAUGUAAAAGGCACCGGCUCAACCGGUGUGACGCAUUUGAUACUGUAUUUCUGGAGUAAGGUGGAGGGAGACGGAAUUCCUGGUGUAGCGGUGGAAUGCGUAGAUAUCAGGAAGAACACCAAAGGCGCAGGCAGUUUUCCAUACCAUUACUGACGCUGAUUUGCGAAGGUGUGGGUAUCGAACAGGAUUAGAUACCCUGGUAGUCCACACAGUAAACGAUNAACACUAGGUGUU
RNAcentral lists this ribosomal RNA (818 nucleotides) under uncultured bacterium. RNAcentral describes it as "bacterial SSU rRNA". It matches the Rfam family "Bacterial small subunit ribosomal RNA", at positions 29 to 824 of the family's 1533-position model. The record is from RNAcentral.